AUUCAUGUUGCUGCAGUUAAAAAGCUCGUAGUUGGAUAUUGGUUAUUACAAUUAUAGAAGAUGUAUUAUGUUUAUAGUACAUGUGAUAUGAAGUACGUAAUAAUUUGUAAAUAAAGUUUGGAAAUUGCUAAUAUACCUGAUUGUAUAGUAUCAAUUUUUAUGUAAAGAAACUUGUGAUUACUGUGAAAAAAUUAGAGUGUUUAAGGCAAACGAGAUUGUUGUACUGGAUACAUUAGCAUGGAAUAAUAGUAGAUGAUGUUCUACAUUGUGUUGUUGAUUUGAGUGUGGAGAUAAUAGUUAAGAGGAACAGUUGUGGGUGGAAGUAUUUUGUAGUAAGAGGUGAAAUUCUUUGAUCUACAAAAGACUGUCUGUUGCGAAAGCGUUUACCAAGGAUGUUUUCAUUAAUGUGGAGCAAAAGUCAAGGGAGCAAAGAGGAUUAGAUACCCUCGUAGUCUUGACCAUAAACGAUGCCGACUAGUUUUAUUCUGAGAUUUAUACUAUGUUAAUCAGCAAUGAUUAGGAUAUUAAUGAAGUGGGAUGGGACUGUGAAGAAAUUUCUAAGUGUUUGGGUUCCUGGGGGUGUAUGGUCGCAAGGCUGAAACUUAAAGGGAUUGACGGAAGGGCACCACAAGUGGUGGAGCCUGCGGCUUAAUUUGACCCAACACGGGGAAACUUACCAGGUCCAGAUAUGCGGCGGAUUGACAGAUUGAAGCUCUUUCUUGAUUGUAUAAGUGGUGGUGCAUGGCCGUUCUUAGUUGGUGUUGUGAAAUGUCUGGUUGAUUCCGAUAACGAGCGAGAUUCUUGCAUUUAGUUAGGCAAUGUUAUACUAUGUAUAGUAUUGGUGUAAACUUCUUAAAUGGACAAUGUAUGUUUGUAGUACAUGGAAGUGAAGAGCAAAAACAGGUCUGUGAUGCCCUUCGAUAUCCUGGGCCGCACGCGCGCUACAAUGGAUAUAAUAAUAUGUUCUUAUAUUCUGCAAUUAAUACCUUUUUUGGUUUUUAAACUGCAAAUAACCUAGCCUGAAGAGUCUGGGUAAUCAUGAAACUAUAUCCGUGCUUGGGAUAGACGCUUGUAAUUAUUUGUCUUGAACGAGGAAUCUCUAGUAAACGCAAAUCAUCAGUUUGCAUUGAAUGCGUCCCUGCCCUUUGUACACACCGCCCGUCGCACCUACCGAUGUGCGAAAGUGUGAAGUUCUCGGAAGAGGCGUCCCUUACAACUUGUUUGUAAAGGACGUCGCCUG
Molecule: ribosomal RNA, 1240 nt
Filed under: metagenome
Description: bacterial SSU rRNA
Rfam family: Eukaryotic small subunit ribosomal RNA
Source: RNAcentral